ACAUGUUAUGCCUAUAAUUUCUAAGUGAAUUUUAAAAUUUUAAUGAAAUAUCAGAGAAGGGCGAUUAUGUGCAUUUCAUGUCUUCAUGAUUCUUGUGUGUGCUUGGUUGGAAUGUUAAAUUCAUUCUUCUUGUCCAUUAGAUUGGAAAUAUGGAAAAUAUUAGAAGUUUCACUCGAGAUUUGUUACUUUCAAAGUGCCAUAUUUUGGAGUAAGAGAGAGUUGUGCUCCCUAAAUUUGAAAAGUGAUGGAGGAGAGAAUUAGGGAGGUGAGACACAGGAAGAAAAGUGGUUAAGUCUUGAAAGACUAAUAGACUGGUCACUUGACCAUAUAGAACAAAUGUCUGCAAUAUUAUUUGCUUUGAGGAAUAGUAGAAUUAUAUUUUUUUUCCUAUUAAAAUGUGGGGAUGCUAGCAUCUACAAAAAAGGAAGUAAGUUGGUAUUCCCCAGUAUAUAUAGCCCAGAAAAAAAUUUAUCCCUGGAGUUUCUAAACUUAGUUAUUCAUCAGUUAACUCCUUGAUGAGCCUCAUCCAGCUUCGUCUAAUUCCGUCUGAUCAUCUGCACCUUAUACAUUUAAUACUAAACAAACUGAAGAAGCCAUGAAAUUACAUUUGCACAUUCUACAUAUGGAAACAUGUUAUAUUAUAGGUAGAAAUAGUUCUGUGUGUGUUUGUAUCCUUUUUACUCGUUCAAAUUAUUUAGAAAGUAGUACAUAUUAAAAUUUUGGAGUAGUUCAGGUAGAUUUGGAUUAGGGCCUGUCUCAUGCUUGCAAUUUGAAUUUGGCCCUUAAAUUCAAAUUACAUGGUUAUCAAGCCUUUUGGAAAUAUAAUUAGUAGUAAAGAUACAUCGAUGCCUCAUAAUAAAAAACUUCUAAAUAGUGCCAUUAUGUUUGCUUCUCAUUCUAGAUAUGGUUGUUAAGGGGCCUCGUAACAUAUAGAAUGUAUGCCUUGUUUUUGGUUUUCUUCAACUAAUGUAUGUAACUUAUAUUUUAGAAGUGUAAGAGCAAUCAAGCAUUAUACAUAUAUUGAAUGCAAUCACGUCUCAAUCAUUGCCUACUUAAAACAAAUGUUGUAUCUUGGGAUGGGUUUCUCGAACUUUAUAAAUUCUUAAUUUUAUCUUGU
This 1117-nucleotide long non-coding RNA is filed under the name Phaseolus vulgaris (common bean). RNAcentral's name for it is "long non-coding RNA (PVUL_LNC004635)". The record is from RNAcentral. Lineage: Eukaryota; Viridiplantae; Streptophyta; Magnoliopsida; Fabales; Fabaceae.